RNAcentral lists this ribosomal RNA (427 nucleotides) under uncultured bacterium. RNAcentral describes it as "bacterial SSU rRNA". It matches the Rfam family "Bacterial small subunit ribosomal RNA", at positions 355 to 775 of the family's 1533-position model. The record is from RNAcentral.
UGGGGAAUCUUGCGCAAUGGGCGAAAGCCUGACGCAGCAACGCCGCGUGCGGGAAGAAGGUCUUAGGGUUGUAAACCGCUUUCAGUAGGGACGAAGGCAAAUAGGUUAAUAGCCUAUGCGUUGACGGUACCUACAGAAGAAGGUCCGGCUAACUACGUGCCAGCAGCCGCGGUAAUACGUAGGGACCGAGCGUUGUCCGGAAUCAUUGGGCGUAAAGAGCGUGUAGGCGGCCAAUUAAGUCCUGCGUGAAAUCUCGGGGCUCAACCCCGAGCGGUCGUGGGAAACUGGUUGGCUAGAGUGCGGGAGAGGAGAGUGGAAUUCCUGGUGUAGCGGUGAAAUGCGCAGAUAUCAGGAAGAACACCCGUGGCGAAGGCGGCUCUCUGGAACGCAACUGACGCUGAGACGCGAAAGCGUGGGGAGCAAACAG